UAAGGAAUAUUGGUCAAUGGACGCAAGUCUGAACCAGUCAUGCCGCGUGAAGGAUGAAGGUCCUCUGGAUUGUAAACUUCUUUUAUCUGGGACGAAAACGGGAUUUUUAUCUCAAUUGACGGUACCAGAGGAAUAAGCACCGGCUAACUCCGUGCCAGCAGCCGCGGUAAUACGGAGGGUGCGAGCGUUAUCCGGAUUUACUGGGUUUAAAGGGUGCGUAGGUGGGCUUAUAAGUCAGUGGUGAAAUCUCCGAGCUUAACUUGGAAACUGUCGUUGAUACUAUAGGUCUUGAAUUAUCUGGAGGUAAGCGGAAUAUGUCAUGUAGCGGUGAAAUGCUUAGAUAUGACAUAGAACACCAAUUGCGAAGGCAGCUUACUACAUAUAAAUUGACGCUGAGGCACGAAAGCGUGGGGAUCAAACA
Molecule: ribosomal RNA, 421 nt
Filed under: uncultured bacterium
Lineage: Bacteria
Description: bacterial SSU rRNA
Rfam family: Bacterial small subunit ribosomal RNA
Source: RNAcentral